Molecule: ribosomal RNA, 253 nt
Filed under: uncultured bacterium
Lineage: Bacteria
Description: partial 16S ribosomal RNA
Rfam family: Bacterial small subunit ribosomal RNA
Source: RNAcentral
GACAGAGGGUGCAAACGUUGUUCGGAAUUACUGGGCGUAAAGCGUGUGUAGGCGGUCCUGUAAGUCGGAUGUGAAAGCCCUGGGCUCAACCCAGGAAGUGCACUCGAUACUGCAGGACUAGAGUAUCGGAGAGGUUGGUGGAAUUCUCGGUGUAGAGGUGAAAUUCGUAGAUAUCGAGAGGAACACCGGCGGCGAAGGCGGCCAACUGGACGAAUACUGACGCUGAGACACGAAAGCGUGGGGAGCAAACAGG